RNAcentral lists this ribosomal RNA (254 nucleotides) under uncultured bacterium. RNAcentral describes it as "partial 16S ribosomal RNA". It matches the Rfam family "Bacterial small subunit ribosomal RNA", at positions 524 to 776 of the family's 1533-position model. The record is from RNAcentral.
UACAGAGGUCCCAAGCGUUGUUCGGAUUCACUGGGCGUAAAGGGUGCGUAGGUGGCGAGGUAAGUCGGAUGUGAAAUCUCCGAGCUCAACUCGGAAAUGGCAUUGGAAACUACCUUGCUCGAGGGUUGGAGGGGGGACUGGAAUGCUUGGUGUAGCAGUGAAAUGCGUAGAUAUCAAGCGGAACACCAGUGGCGAAGGCGAGUCCCUGGACAACUCCUGACACUGAGGCACGAAAGCUAGGGGGAGCAAACAGG